GGGGCGGCGCAGUGCCUAUAAAGGGCCGGGGCCGCGCGUGUGGGGUGGCAAUGGCGGCGCUCGGGACCGGCUUUGGCGGUGGCAGGGCCCGUGAGGAAGCGGCGCUGGAGCCGGGCCCGGGGCAGCCCGGAAGCCGCCGGCAGCCCACGGCCUGUGGAGGGGUCCCGCAGGCUCCGCUCAGGCCGUGUGUGAUGAAGGAGAGAGGGCGGGCGUCUGGCGACGGUGCCUUGUUGUGGUGCCGUGCGCCUUGGUAACCCUGCCGGGGUUGGGAUUAGCCGUGCUGUGGGUGCCGGCUCGUUUCGGCUUCCUGGCUGCUUGUUAACCAUUUUUUCCCUUCUGGAUUUCUAUAUAUUCCUCGGCCGGCGUGCCUACUCGUGUUUGUGCUGCCUUUUGCUAAUACAACGAUAACGCUCUUUAGUUUAGGCUUUAGACAAGUGUAUGAGGCUUUUCUUCCUUCGUUAUGUUUGUUGUGUUGGUGCUCAGCUGAUGGCCUCAGAGCAGGGAAAAGAGGUAAACGAAGCUAGCUGUGGUCUUUUUCCUUUUCAGGAGUCCCUUAAUAAAAUGGAUGGCAUAACCCAAGCAGUAAGGAAGAGAUCAUCUCUUUGUGGGGUUGCUCAGGAACCUGCUUCUAAUGUUGUGAAGUCAGGCAGAAACCACCUUAGAAGAAGGAAAAGCAUCAAAUCUAUUUUUCUCUCUCUAUGCUCUGUUCCAACAUGACAUUAUGUGCAGUAGUCACUGGGCUGUGGCUGCUCAGUGCUGGAAUUUUGCAUAGCUCUGAACACGUUUGGGUGGAAAGGGGAGGUCCAGCUCUCACAAUCCCAGAAUUUCCACAGCCUGCGCGAGCAUCAUGAGAGGUGACUGGUUCUGUUGCACCAUACUCUGUUGGGCUGUGUGUGUGCAGGGUUUCCAUACACAGCCUGUGAGGUGUGGAAAAAGAAGGUGGCAGUCCAAUCUAUGAGUCAAUUUUUGAAGGUGUGGAAGAGCAGUCAGUGAAGGAACAUAAAAAGGUGAAGAUUGGGGAAUGGAAUGUUUGGCGUUGGUUUUAAUUAGAAACAUCCUGUUCAUCACUCACAUGUGAGAUAAAAAGGGAAGGAUAUCCAUUACUACAGUACACUGACAGAGGAAAUAUCUGUAUCAUAGUGAGAAAUUCUAAUUGAGCUGCCAAGUAAAAUUGAAUUGAAAUACAGACCCUAUUCCAACAAUAUUUCCCUUAUUGUAGUGUAUGAGUGAGAGUCAACUGGCAUUGUAUUUAUUCCUAAUCUUUCUGCAACUGAUGACUUUUGUCUAAAAUCCAAAGUACUUCAGUACUGACUCAGUAUUAAACUUAACAAUUACCUCUGUCAGCUAAAAGAUGAAUAAAGCUCAAAAAACAAACCUUUCUUUCA
This 1385-nucleotide long non-coding RNA is filed under the name Serinus canaria (Common canary). RNAcentral's name for it is "lncRNA (ENSSCAG00000012008.1)". Lineage: Eukaryota; Metazoa; Chordata; Aves; Passeriformes; Fringillidae. The record is from RNAcentral.